GUUUAUCUUUGAUUUGGCUGUUGUGGUGUGCAAAACUUUGUGCGUUGCUUUUUGCCACACUGCAACACUUUACAGAUGUGGAAGAUGUGA
MicroRNA precursor from Crocodylus porosus (Australian saltwater crocodile), 90 nucleotides. The record is from Ensembl. NCBI's taxonomy places the organism in Eukaryota, Metazoa, Chordata, Crocodylia, Crocodylidae.